UACGAGAGGCCCAAACGUUAUUCGGAAUUACUGGGCUUAAAGAGUUCGUAGGCGGCAUGAAAAGCAGGGUGUGAAAGCCCUCGGCUUAACCGAGGAAUUGCGCUCUGAACUGUCGUGCUUGAGGAACCUAGAGGUGAGCAGAACAGAUGGUGGAGCGGUGAAAUGCGUUGAUAUCAUCUGGAAUACCGGAGGCGAAGGCGGCUCACUGGGGGUUUUCUGACGCUGAGGAACGAAAGCCAGGGUAGCGAACGGG
Molecule: ribosomal RNA, 253 nt
Filed under: uncultured prokaryote
Description: partial 16S ribosomal RNA
Rfam family: Bacterial small subunit ribosomal RNA
Source: RNAcentral